GCUCCGGUGGCCUAGUGGUUAGAGCAUCCGCAUUGGAUGCGGGAGGUCGUGGGCUCAAUCCCCGGUCGAUUCA
Potamilus streckersoni is the source of this 73-nucleotide non-coding RNA. Lineage: Eukaryota; Metazoa; Mollusca; Bivalvia; Unionida; Unionidae. The record is from the annotation of a GenBank genome assembly.